GACGAGCCGUGCGAACGUUAUUCGGAAUCACUGGGCUUAAAGCGCGUGUAGGCGGGACGGCACGUCGGUCGCUGAAAUCCCCCGGCUCAACCGGGGAACGGGCGCCGAUACGACCGCCCUGGAGGGGCGUAGGGGGACCUGGAACUUCCGGUGGAGCGGUGAAAUGCGUUGAGAUCGGAAGGAACGCCCGUGGCGAAAGCGAGGUCCUGGACGCUUACUGACGCUGAGACGCGAAAGCCAGGGGAGCGAACGG
This 253-nucleotide ribosomal RNA is filed under the name uncultured bacterium. RNAcentral describes it as "partial 16S ribosomal RNA". It matches the Rfam family "Bacterial small subunit ribosomal RNA", at positions 524 to 775 of the family's 1533-position model. The record is from RNAcentral.